AACGAACGCUGGCGGCAGGCCUAACACAUGCAAGUCGAGCGGACCCUUCGGGGUUAGCGGCGGACGGGUGAGUAACGCGUGGGAAUAUGCCCUUCUCUACGGAAUAGUCCUGGGAAACUGGGGGUAAUACCGUAUACGCCCUUUGGGGGAAAGAUUUAUCGGGGAAGGAUUAGCCCGCGUUGGAUUAGGUAGUUGGUGGGGUAAUGGCCUACCAAGCCGACGAUCCAUAGCUGGUUUGAGAGGAUGAUCAGCCACACUGGGACUGAGACACGGCCCAGACUCCUACGGGAGGCAGCAGUGGGGGAUCUUAGACAAUGGGGGCAACCCUGAUCUAGCCAUGCCGCGUGAGUGAUGAAGGCCUUAGGGUUGUAAAGCUCUUUCAGCUGGGAAGAUAAUGACGGUACCAGCAGAAGAAGCCCCGGCUAACUCCGUG
RNAcentral lists this ribosomal RNA (433 nucleotides) under uncultured bacterium. Its description in RNAcentral is "partial 16S ribosomal RNA". It matches the Rfam family "Bacterial small subunit ribosomal RNA", at positions 29 to 507 of the family's 1533-position model. The record is from RNAcentral.